RNAcentral lists this ribosomal RNA (442 nucleotides) under uncultured bacterium. RNAcentral describes it as "partial 16S ribosomal RNA". It matches the Rfam family "Bacterial small subunit ribosomal RNA", at positions 338 to 795 of the family's 1533-position model. The record is from RNAcentral.
CCUACGGGGUGCUGCAGUGGGGAAUAUUGGGCAAUGGGCGCAAGCCUGACCCAGCAACGCCGCGUGAAGGAAGACGGCUUUCGGGUUGUAAACUUCUUUUGUCAGGGAAGUGUAGAAGACGGUACCUCUUGAAUAAGCUCCGGCUAACUACGUGCCAGCAGCCGCGGUAAUACGUAGGGAGCGAGUGUUAUCCGGAUUUACUGGGUUUAAAGGGCGUGCAGCCGGGAGUACAAGUCAGAUGUGAAUUCCCGCGGCUCAACCGCGGAACUGCAUUUGACACUGUAUUUCUUGAGUACUGGAGAGGCAGACGGAAUUCGUAGUGUAGCGGUGAAAUGCGUAGAUAUUAGGAGGAACACCAGUGGCGAAGGCGGUCUGCUGGACAGCAACUGACGGUGAGGCGCGAAAGCGUGGGGAGCAAACAGGAUUAGAUACCCGAGUAGUC